UGGGGGAUAUUGCACAAUGGGGGAAACCCUGAUGCAGCAACGCCGCGUGAGGGAAGAAGGCUUUCGGAUUGUAAACCUCUGUCUUUGGUGACGAUAAUGACGGUAGCCAAGGAGGAAGCCACGGCUAACUACGUGCCAGCAGCCGCGGUAAUACGUAGGUGGCAAGCGUUGUCCGGAAUUACUGGGUGUAAAGGGUGCGUAGGCGGGUACCCAAGUCAAAGGUGAAAUCGAUGGGCUCAACCCAUAGACUGCGUUUGAAACUGGGUAUCUUGAGUGAAGUAGAGGCAGGCGGAAUUCCGAGUGUAGCGGUGAAAUGCGUAGAUAUCCGGAGGAACACCAGUGGCGAAGGCGGCCUGCUGGGCUUUUACUGACGCUGAUGCACGAAAGCAUGGGGAGCAAACA
This 402-nucleotide ribosomal RNA is filed under the name uncultured prokaryote. RNAcentral describes it as "bacterial SSU rRNA". It matches the Rfam family "Bacterial small subunit ribosomal RNA", at positions 355 to 774 of the family's 1533-position model. The record is from RNAcentral.